Molecule: ribosomal RNA, 253 nt
Filed under: uncultured bacterium
Lineage: Bacteria
Description: partial 16S ribosomal RNA
Rfam family: Bacterial small subunit ribosomal RNA
Source: RNAcentral
UACGAAGGGUGCAAGCGUUGUUCGGAAUCACUGGGCGUAAAGAAUGCGUAGGCGGCUUAACAAGUCAGGAGUGAAAUCCCAGGGCUUAACCCUGGAACUGCUUCUGAAACUGUUUUGCUAGAGUCCCGGAGGGGUUGGCGGAAUUCCGAGUGUAGAGGUGAAAUUCGCAGAUAUUCGGAGGAACACCAGUGGCGUAGGCGGCCAACUGGACGGGAACUGACGCUGAGGCAUGAAAGUGUGGGGAUCAAACAGG